This 30-nucleotide non-coding RNA is filed under the name Rattus norvegicus (Norway rat). The record is from RNAcentral. Lineage: Eukaryota; Metazoa; Chordata; Mammalia; Rodentia; Muridae.
UGCCAAAGAGUGUCAAAAAAUUUUUGAAUU